AGAGUUUGAUCCUGGCUCAGGAUGAACGCUAGCGGCAGGCCUAAUACAUGCAAGUCGAACGAGAUUAGUAGCAAUACUAUGAAAGUGGCGCACGGGUGCGUAACACGUAUGCAAUCUACCUUUAAUUGGAGGAUAGCCUCGAGAAAUCGGGAUUAAUACUCCAUAACAUUACGAAGUGGCAUCACUAUGUAAUUAAACCUCCGGGGAUUAAAGAUGAGCAUGCGCAACAUUAGCUAGUUGGUAAGGUAAUGGCUUACCAAGGCUACGAUGUUUAGGGGGUCUGAGAGGAUGAUCCCCCACACUGGUACUGAGACACGGACCAGACUCCUACGGGAGGCAGCAGUAGGGAAUAUUGGGCAAUGGAGGCAACUCUGACCCAGCCAUGCCGCGUGCAGGAUGACGGCCCUCUGGGUUGUAAACUGCUUUUAUACGGGAAGAAAAAGUACUACGUGUAGUAUAUUGACGGUACCGUAAGAAUAAGGAUCGGCUAACUCCGUGCCAGCAGCCGCGGUAAUACGGAGGAUCCAAGCGUUGUCCGGAUUUAUUGGGUUUAAAGGGUGCGUAGGCGGAUCUUUAAGUCAGUGGUGAAAGCCUGCAGCUCAACUGUAGAACAGCCAUUGAAACUGAAGAUCUUGAAUGUGGUUAAAGUAGGCGGAAUGUAUCAUGUAGCGGUGAAAUGCUUAGAUAUGAUACAGAACACCGAUAGCGAAGGCAGCUUGCUGAACCAUUAUUGACGCUGAGGCACGAAAGCGUGGGG
RNAcentral lists this ribosomal RNA (757 nucleotides) under uncultured bacterium. RNAcentral describes it as "bacterial SSU rRNA". It matches the Rfam family "Bacterial small subunit ribosomal RNA", at positions 8 to 766 of the family's 1533-position model. The record is from RNAcentral.